Molecule: ribosomal RNA, 669 nt
Filed under: Nocardioides sp. D36
Lineage: Bacteria; Bacillati; Actinomycetota; Actinomycetes; Propionibacteriales; Nocardioidaceae
Description: bacterial SSU rRNA
Rfam family: Bacterial small subunit ribosomal RNA
Source: RNAcentral
ACGGGUGAGUAACACGUGAGCAAUCUGCCCUUCACUCGCGGAUAACUACCGGAAACGGUGGCUAAUACGUGAUGCGACCGCUUCCUGCAUGGGAUGGUGGUGGAAAGUUUUGGCGGUGGGGGAUGAGCUCGCGGCCUAUCAGCUUGUUGGUGAGGUAAUGGCUUACCAAGGCUUCGACGGGUAGCCGGCCUGAGAGGGUGACCGGCCACACUGGGACUGAGACACGGCCCAGACUCCUACGGGAGGCAGCAGUGGGGAAUAUUGGACAAUGGGCGAAAGCCUGAUCCAGCAACGCCGCGUGAGGGAUGACGGCCUUCGGGUUGUAAACCUCUUUCAGUACCGACGAAGCGCAAGUGACGGUAGGUACAGAAGAAGCACCGGCCAACUACGUGCCAGCAGCCGCGGUAAUACGUAGGGUGCGAGCGUUGUCCGGAAUUAUUGGGCGUAAAGGGCUCGUAGGCGGUUUGUCACGUCGGGAGUGAAAACUCGGGGCUUAACUCCGAGCCUGCUUCCGAUACGGGCUGACUAGAGGUAUGCAGGGGAGAACGGAAUUCCUGGUGUAGCGGUGAAAUGCGCAGAUAUCAGGAGGAACACCGGUGGCGAACGCGGUUCUCUGGGCAUUACCUGACGCUGAGGAGCGAAAGUGUGGGGAGCAAACAGGAUUAGAUA